RNAcentral lists this ribosomal RNA (235 nucleotides) under uncultured bacterium. RNAcentral describes it as "partial 16S ribosomal RNA". It matches the Rfam family "Bacterial small subunit ribosomal RNA", at positions 99 to 334 of the family's 1533-position model. The record is from RNAcentral.
CGGACGGGUGAGUAGCGCGUGGGUAACCUACCCUGUACACACGGAUAACAUACCGAAAGGUAUGCUAAUACGGGAUAAUAUAUUUGAGAGGCAUCUCUUGAAUAUCAAAGGUGAGCCAGUACAGGAUGGACCCGCGUCUGAUUAGCUAGUUGGUAAGGUAACGGCUUACCAAGGCGACGAUCAGUAGCCGACCUGAGAGGGUGAUCGGCCACAUUGGAACUGAGACACGGUCCAA